This 110-nucleotide ribosomal RNA is filed under the name Pseudomonas marginalis. The record is from RNAcentral. Lineage: Bacteria; Pseudomonadati; Pseudomonadota; Gammaproteobacteria; Pseudomonadales; Pseudomonadaceae.
CUUGACGACCAUAGAGCAUUGGAACCACCUGAUCCCAUCCCGAACUCAGUAGUGAAACGAUGCAUCGCNACGGGCGUGACAAUUCCAUGCUUCCUCUGUUGGCUUCAAGA